UAGAAUGUCUGAUUGACUGAAUAAGGAUGAGGGGAUAGUGGCAGCGAGGAAGGAAGAAUAAGUGAAGUUUGAAGGUUGACGCAAAGCAAGAAAAACAUUGAUGGCAUGCAAAGACAAGUAAAUAAUGUAAGGUGAGCUAAGAUCGACACACAGCAGAAAAGGAAAAAUGACGAUGGACGACGAUAGCUCUAUAUAUGUUGGGGGUCUCCCUUACGACAUCACCGACGAAACCAUUCGCACUGUCUUCAAUUUGUAUGGUGCCAUUCUCGAUGUGAAGAUUAUCAACGACCAACGCGGUAGGGGGAAGUGCUAUUGUUUUGUUACUUUCACGAAUCCUAGGUCAGCGAUCGACGCCAUCAACGACAUGAAUGGCAGAACCAUUGACGGGCGUGUGGUUAAAGUUAAUGGGGUGAGGUCUCGUGGGGGCAGGUCAAACUUUGGCAGAGAACGGUAUUACUAUCAUAAUGAUGAGAGGAAUGGAGAUUGGGAUCGUGGGAGAGAUCGAGACAGAGAUUAUGAUCAUGAUAAUAGUGGUAGGGAUGGAUACAGGAAUCGGAACAAUGAUUGGAGUCGGGACCGUGAUAGGUCUCGAGACCGAGACCAGGAUAGGGAUAGAAGAUUUGAGCAUAUGCAUGACUAUGAUGAAGAUAGAGAUCCUAUGUUAGAUAAUGACUGGGGUAGAGAGGAUGAUAGAGUUGAAAAUGAUCAAGAACAUAGCAGGGGGGAUGGUGGAGAUGUGGAUAGAGACCACAACUUGGAUUUUAAUGCAGACAGGAAAACGGAUAGGUCAAGUGACCCUGAUAGAAGUUUUGACGAGGAUAGAAAAGAUCAGUCAAGGAGAAACAAUGACUUGAAUGUUACAAAUCAACAUAGCAUGGAUCUUUCAUCAGAGUCAACUGGUGCCGAUGAUGAUCAGGUAGAAGCUCAAUUAGAGAGCUCAACUAAGCAGUUUGAUCAACUCAAAAAAGAGGUUUCUCAAAUGGAAGAGGGAUUAGAAGAGAAAAGGGUCCAUGUUAAGGAAUUGCAAAAGCAAUCUAAGAAACUGGAGGAUGCACUGGUCAAUGCUAAGAAAAACACUUCAUAUCGUCAGAUGCAGUUGAUAAAGCUUCAUAAAUGUUUUCUGCAAGUGAAAGAUUACACAGAAAGACUUAAAACUAGUGAAAAGGAACUUCAGUUGAUAAGCAUUCAAACACUUGUGGACCCACUCUCAAAAGCCAGUCAGUGAGGGGAAAUAACCGAACACUGAAAUAUUGCAUUGUGCACCCAUACUUCUCCAAUUUGAGACUCAGGCACUCCGCUCUAAUUGAUUCAGUAUUGUUAGAGAUUGAUGGUGAUGGCGUUGGAUUCAAGGAUGGACAACUAACAAAUGGAAGUCUUGAUGCUAGAUAGUAUUCUAUAUUUGGAAAUUUCAGAUCGUGUCACUGAUGCUUAAAAUGGGUUUAGCACACAUAGUACCUUGUCUGAUAUGAAGAAAAAAUGGCUGGAUAAGUCAAUGAAUCUCUUCUAUUUUUAUUUUUCUGAUUCAACUACCCUACCUUUUACUAAAUAGCAUCAAUAGAGUUUUGCUUAUACUGUUUAGUUGUUGGUUAACUUGGUCAUAAUUAUGGAUUCACCUGUUAUAAAUUCACAGGAUAAACAAAUUGCAUGUGGUGUACCUUUUGGACUUGUAUUAGGUCAGAGAAUUCAGUGUUAUCCUUUGUUCAUUGUCAUCUCUAUUUAACCUAAUGUCUGAUCCUUUCUGUCCUCAUGAAUAAUCCCUUUAGUAGAAAUAUUCCUUUGAUAUUA
This is an RNA transcript of Vigna radiata var. radiata (mung bean), 1785 nucleotides long. It is a transcript of the gene named zinc finger CCCH domain-containing protein 25, with no coding region annotated. The record is from RefSeq and is a predicted model, not a curated record. The transcript is spliced from 10 exons. Lineage: Eukaryota; Viridiplantae; Streptophyta; Magnoliopsida; Fabales; Fabaceae.